Molecule: non-coding RNA, 1172 nt
Organism: Lactuca sativa (garden lettuce)
Lineage: Eukaryota; Viridiplantae; Streptophyta; Magnoliopsida; Asterales; Asteraceae
Source: RefSeq, a predicted model, not a curated record
CCUUCACUCGCAUACAAUCGCUUCUCAAAAUUGGCGACCCCAUCCCUUCCCUGCGAUAUAUUUUUCCUCUGCCAAUGCCCAUCGCUUCAUCCUUUUGGUUACUUAUUCAAAAUCUUCAUCGAAGGUUCAGGAAACGGAUGUUUUACUCCGACUCUUUUUAUCCUCCAUGUUUGGGACACCGGCCUCCUACUUCUCCAUACCACUGCUCCCUCUAAGCCAAUGAUAUUCAAUGUUUUUCAUUUUUUUUGACUCAUCCUUCUCCGAUCGACAAUAUUUCCGAACUUUGGGUUGCCCUAAUUUUCCAUGCUUAGGGUUUGCAGUUUCACCAUGAUGCUUGACUACUCUGACCAAUUUGAUAUUAUUUUAUAUGCUUUCCUCUCAGGAAAAAAUAUUACGCGACUAGAUAUUAACGAAGAACCUACAAUUUUAUGAGGAGGUAGGGCGAAAUGUAAUUUGUUGAUUUCAAACCUAGGCGAUUAGGGGGUGUGUUUUGGAUCAUUAGAAUUGUGUGCUUUACAAACUAAUUUGUAUAGUUAUCCUGAUUUCAUUUUUAAUUGUGUGCUUCCGUUGAUUGAUUUUCGCACAUUAAUUUCAAAUCAAGUUCUUUUCUUCUUUUGAAAAGAAGGGAGCAGGGGACAUCUAGCAUAUCCAUUAUUAAACUACUUUUCUAUAUAGCUAUUGGAUCCAAUGAUGUUGAUCUGUGGUUGCAAGGUACUUUUCUUUAACCAGAGCAUUCUGUCACCAAUUAUUUUGUAAAUCCUUUUAGGCUAUUUUGGUUACAUGGGACCACUUAUGUGUUUAUGUGUUUAAGAAAUUGACAUGUGAUGCAGGAUACAUGCCAGAAAUAGUGAAAUUUCUUAAUUGUAAGUCAUUUGGGACAUGAAAAUGGCAUGGGGGUAUACGUCCUAUAACUUUUCUUUUUUCCAUAAUAUGCUUGUGUAUGAUCUUUGGUGCUUCGAAACCACGGGAGAGAAGGAAUAGGGGUAGCUAAGGGUAGCUAAGGAUGCCAAAAUAUUAACAGCGAAUCACCUUCUACAAGUAAUUUGUGCUAGAUAUUCAGAUCCUUAAUUCAUAUAGGAUUUAGCUUAUAUAAAUGUAGUAAUGUGAUUUACUGCUUUGUAUAAAAACCCUUUAUUCAAAUAAAAUUAAAACAAAAAGCUAAUGAAAGUAAA